CUCGCUGAUCUGCCUAAGCUUUGAAGGAGAGUGUUGACAGGAUAUGAAGAUUAGCAUCAACUACUCAAGCAUCAUAUGUCCAGCAGUGCUCCAAGAAGCACCCAAUAAGCAAAUAUGGCUCUCCAACAUAGACCUAUUGCUUGGAGGAGGUCACACUCCUAUUUUGUACCUUUACAAGCCAAAUGGGCCAUUCUCUUCCAAUUUCUUUGAUGUUAAGGUCCUUAAGGAGGCCUUAAAACAAGUCCUUGUGCUAUAUUACUCUGUGGCUGGGAGAUUGAGAAAGCAUGAUAAUGGCAAGACUGAAAUAAACUGCAAUGGAGAGGGAGUACUAUUCAUAGAAGCUCAAGCAAAUUCUGCUAUGGUUGACAUUAAUGACUUCACGCCUAGCCAACAACUUUGGCAGCUUAUUCCAGUUGUUGAGUAUUCAAAUGGCAUCUCUUCGUAUCCCCUUCUUCUUCUACAGGUAACCAAAUUUGCAUGUGGUGGAGUAUCCCUCGGAAUUGGGUGGCAUCAUAUUCUAGCAGAUGGCGUUGGCUUCACCAAUUUCAUGAUUGCAUGGGGCAACAUAGUUCGAGGCCUCCCCAUCGGCAUCCCUCCUUCCUUCGAUCGAACCAUUCUCAGCCACCGAGUCCCGCCAACUCCAACAAUCCACCACCACGAAUAUGGAUCCCCACCCACAUUGAACUCUUCUAGUAUCACUACUCACAACCCACAAUACCAAUCAGCUUCUAAAUCCAAUAAUUCUCUAAAAAUCCUUAAGAUUACGCCUGCUCAAAUCAAAAUCCUGAAAGUUGCAAUUUCCAAGUACACCACCUUUGAGAUCCUAACUGGGCAUAUAUGGCGUUGCGUGAGCGAGGCACGUGGCUUACCGAGUGAACAAGCAACCAUGGUAUACAUAUCCGUCGAAGGCCGGUCUAGGCUGUGUCCUCCAGCUCCCCGUGGCUACUUCGGCAAUGCAGUCUUCCAUACUACAACAACUGCUUUAGCUGGUGAGCUCAUAUCAGAACCAUUAGUUAAGACGGUAAAGAGAAUUCACGAGGCAAUAAAAAGGGUGGAUGAUGAGUAUAUAAGAUCAGCUAUUGACAAUUUGGAGGAACAAAUGAUAUGGGACAACCCACCAAGUGUUAUGAAAGAUCCCCAGAGCACUUGCAGCAGCCCAAACCUCAAGAUUGUUAGUUGGAUGAGCAUGCCUUUUUAUGAUGCUGCUGAUUUUGGAUGGGGCAGGCCAGUGUAUAUGAGGGCUACAAAUCCAUGGGAAGGCAAGGGACAUAUAGUAUCAAGUCCAAACAAAGAUGGGAGUUUGUUAUUGCUCAUUUGCUUAGAAACCCACCAUAUCCCAUCCUUUGAAAAGCUAUUUUAUGGCUUGAUUUCUGACAAAAUAGGCCUAAUUGGCAACUCUCGCAUUUGAGAGCAAGGGCUUAACUUGAACAAUUGUUGCUCGGUCAAGUUUUGGUGACAGCUCCUCCCUCCCUUUCUCAUAUCACUUUUAUUUUCCCUUGCUCUUGAUUUCUUAUGUUUUUUAUGUUUGUUUUUGUAUUUCUAUUAAAGAUGCUUAGAGCAAAGUUCUUGUACUAUUUUACCAUUUGGCAGGGAGAUUGGCAAUGGAUGAUAAGGGCAAACUGGAAAUUAAUUGAAACAAUGAGAGAGUUUUGUUCAUAAGAGG
Molecule: unclassified non-coding RNA, 1663 nt
Filed under: Hevea brasiliensis (rubber tree)
Lineage: Eukaryota; Viridiplantae; Streptophyta; Magnoliopsida; Malpighiales; Euphorbiaceae
Source: RNAcentral